GGUGAAUCCCUCAGGAUCCACAUUCCAUGGGGUGAAUCCCUCAGGAACUGCCCCAGGUAGGAAUUCCAUGGGAUCAGUCCCUCAGGAACUGCUCCAGGUGCCCAUUCCAUGGGGUGAAUCCCUCAGGAUCCGCUCCAGGUCCACAUUCCAUGGGUUGAAUCCCUCAGGAACUGCUCCAGGUGCCCAUUCCAUGGGGUGAAUCCCUCAGGA
Long non-coding RNA from Empidonax traillii (willow flycatcher), 210 nucleotides. RefSeq lists it as uncharacterized. Lineage: Eukaryota; Metazoa; Chordata; Aves; Passeriformes; Tyrannidae. The record is from RefSeq and is a predicted model, not a curated record. The transcript is spliced from 3 exons.